Molecule: unclassified non-coding RNA, 490 nt
Filed under: Hevea brasiliensis (rubber tree)
Lineage: Eukaryota; Viridiplantae; Streptophyta; Magnoliopsida; Malpighiales; Euphorbiaceae
Source: RNAcentral
ACAAAUUGAAAAAAAAAAUUACUGAAGUAAACACAAGUAGUCCCAAGACAGAAAAUAAAAAAGGAGAGAAGAAAGAUAAAAAUUAAAUGAUAGAUAUUACAGAGAAAACCCAAGUGGAUGGGGCGAGCAACAGAUUUUGAUCUUCUCUUCUACUCUUUUGUUUUCCCCUUUUCCAUUGGAGAUAGAUUUCAAUCUAGGAGGGAAAAAAGCUAUUUCCUUUAUGCUUGGUGUGGGACAAAUUAGGUCAAAAAAUAAUAAUAAUAAAAUAAUAACAAAUAUGUAUAUCACUAAGGCACACCUUAGGUGCGCCUUGCGCCUGGUCGAAGAUUCUCAGGUGCUGAGGCUUUUAGCUGUAGAGGCACUGAGGUUUGCCCUUCAUGUGGGUUGCACCUAACAACUACGGCAUUGAAGUUAUUUGACGAAGUAGCUGUGAGAUGUUAUCUAAUUUUGAUGGGUGGUUUUGAGAAUGAAUUACAAAAUUUUGAAGAGA